RNAcentral lists this unclassified non-coding RNA (337 nucleotides) under soil metagenome. RNAcentral's name for it is "partial contains 5.8S ribosomal RNA, internal transcribed spacer 2, and large subunit ribosomal RNA". The stretch from base 1 to 120 matches the Rfam family "5.8S ribosomal RNA", at positions 35 to 154 of the family's 154-position model. The record is from RNAcentral.
GAUGAAGAACGCAGCAAAAUGCGAUAAGUAAUGUGAAUUGCAGAAUUCAGUGAAUCAUCGAAUCUUUGAACGCACAUUGCGCCCCUUGGUAUUCCAUGGGGCAUGCCUGUUCGAGCGUCAUUUGUACCUUCAAGCUCUGCUUGGUGUUGGGUGUUUGUCUCGCCUCUGCGUGUAGACUCGCCUUAAAACAAUUGGCAGCCGGCGUAUUGAUUUCGGAGCGCAGUACAUCUCGCGCUUUGCACUCAUAACGACGACGUCCAAAAGUACAUUUUUACACUCUUGACCUCGGAUCAGGUAGGGAUACCCGCUGAACUUAAGCAUAUCAAUAAGCGGAGGA